GGCUACACAAGAGCGUCGGUCUUUGCCCAGCACGAAGCCCGCCGCGCACUCGCAGGCAAAGCCUCCAGAGUCGUCUAGGCAGUCAGGGAGCUCCGCGCACUUGCCAGCACGGAGGUACCUCCCGGGGCAGGGACAGAGCACAGCCCCGGAGGGUAUCCCGUCCCAGCGCGCGCCGACCUCGUCGGCGAGGCAGGUGGCUCUGACGGAGAGCUGCCCGGGGCAGAGCGCACUCACCUGCGUCCCUGGGGGACUGAAGUCCAGCGCCGCGCUGUGCAGCUGGAAGGGCGCGCGGUAGCUCAAGUUAGAGGCGGCCCCGGGGCGCGGCGCCGGGCACAAGCCCUCAAACUGGUAUUUGCACAGGUAGCCGUUGGCGCGCGAGUGGCAGCGCAUCUCCUUCCAGCCUGCGGGCUCGACCCCCCGGGUGGCCUGGAGUCCCGCGCAACUCCGAGAGGUGCAGGAGCGCUGGGGCUCCUCCACCCACUGCAGCGUGUCGCUUUCGGACCCGCUGACGUCGGGGGACAGCCAGGAGAAGCCCCGCAACGGCUCGUCCUCCAGGGUGCAGUGGGAUCGCCCGCGUUCCAGCGCCACCCAGAACAGAAGGUCUUUGGAGCCCCCUCCGGGCCCCGGGCCUGCCCGCAGGAGCGCGAGCACCGCCUGGAGCUCGGCGCCCCCGCGCACGGUGCUGAGCGCCCCGCCGCGCAGACUGCAGGCCUCCUCGGCCGCCAGCCUCUUGAUGGUAGCGUGGUGCAGGCUGUAGCAGGCCCCCGAGGCCGAGCAGCCCGCGCGGUCGGCCGUGGGGUGCUCGCCCCCGCCGGGCCGAGGCCAGAGCGCCUGCCAGAGGAGACACAGGGCGAGCGCCGGCCUCAUCUUGGAGGCCCCGCUCCCACAGUGUUCCCGACUAGGCUUGGCUCUGUCCCGCCCGAGGGCGCGGAGCUGUCCCGAGAGCGCGGUCACCGCCCCCUCCAGCCGGCCUCCCCCGCCUCCCCGCCCCACUCCCGCCGGGGCCCUCAACUGCCAAGAUUCCCCAGCACGGUCCUGGCGGCAAGCAGCUUCCCCUAGGCCGCGACAGGAAAUGGGUUCGGAGCUGUGCCAGGCCCCGUGCAGCCCUGAUUCCUUCUGGGGUCACGCACACAGCUGGCGCCGGGGUGCGGGGUACACAGUCGACCAGGUCAGACACCCUGCUUAGAGCAGGAGAAAAAGAGAGAAAGUCGCGACUGGGAAGAAACGUAUCCUGUCCCCCCCCACCCCCAUUAGAAAGUUUCAGGGGCUCAGAUCCCAAAACACUUCGGUGAACGUUGACAGGAAGGACUGGAAACGAGGAACUCGCUGACAGCCCACACCCGCCCAUUGUGUUUCGUCCGGGCCAGCCGCCUUGGCUUCACAGCAACGUGUAGACGGCUCCAGGCGUCAUCGGGCGGGAGGCUGGGGCGACGCGGAGGGCAUCUAUCUGGUGGGAAAUCUGGGGCUCUCCCUCCACCGCCAGAGGCAGCACCGCUUGGGCGCCAGCCUCCUGCUCUCUGCUUCUCUGUUCUGUCAAAGGAGAUUCCUGGGGGCUAAUUGCCAGUCUAAGAAUUUAGAGCUCCCUUUGCGUAUCCUAAAUGGGUAAAUCCUGCGUCUUCAGUCAGAGCUCGCUUUAAAGUUUCUUUUUUGCUUCCAUUUGUUUCUCCUUGAAACGGCCAUAUGGGUUCACUCAGGAAAGGAAAUGUACUUCUAGGCCCAAAUGAAAAAUAAUGGGCAUCGAUCUCAACUGUUGUAUAGUUAGGUUUCCUUACCACUGUAUUGCUUCAUAACUAAUUCAAGCUUGUAUGUUAUAGAAAAAUGAGAUCGUGGCCUGAUUAAUGUUUGAGAACAACUACCCCAUGUGUAACUUUAUCCUUGAACUAUUUUAAUAUCAUUUUCUCCUGUGAUUGGGUGCCAAUAUUUGUAUCGGUAAAUUGUAAAAGUCCCCUUGAAGGGACACUAGAGUUCAAUAUUCUUAAGAAAUUAAAUUAUUUAUUCCAUUAUAAUGCAUAUUAUAUACCGUAAACAAAAAAUACCCCCUCAUCUAAGAGACGGGUGAGUCCAUUUCUCCAGCAUUCCAAUUUUUUUUUUUUUUUUAGAUUUUAUUUAUUAUCUGUUUGAGACAUAGAGAGAGGGAGAGAGGGAGAGAGGCAGAGACACAGGCAGAGGGAGAAGCAGGCUCCAUGCAGGGAGCCGGAUGUGGGACUCGAUCCCCGGUCUCCAGGAUCAGGCCCUGGGCUGAAGGCAGCGCUAAGCCGCUGAGUCACCCGGGCUGCCCACAGCGUUCCAAUUUUUAAAAAAUAUACACAGCUCAAUUGGAAGUGGGGAAGAAUUAAAGAUGAGUAAAUGAAGACAAGCUUAAACACUGCACUGUCUAUGGAAAGAUUUUCUUGUUAGCAAUUUAGGCAAUUCUGUAUCAUUUUAGGAAAUGCAUUAUCUACCUUGGUUCACAGUAACCAAAUAUAUUGCAAUAAAAGCACAGAGUUUCAACUAAGCUCACUUAACAUGCACCAUGCUUUUAAAUACCUACAAUCAGAAUGAAAGUUGCCAUUCCAUGAAUAAUGCAUACCACACUUUUAAACUCACUUUCUUAUGCUGGAUUAGACGGUUCAGAUUAGUGAGAAAGGGUAGGAAGGAAGGUCUCAGGAUCACUUCUGUAUGUCCCCACCUCCUUUUUACCACUGCUCUCACUCUUCUUUUCCUCUUGGAAAUUCUAUGUAUGUUAGGAAAUGAUAGUAAAUACAUGAAUCAUUAUCACACUUACCUUGCUUUUGCUGAUGUGUUUCGCCGCAGGAUUUCUCUACUAUCCGUGCUGAUUUCCAAUUUAAAGGACAUUCAUUAGUCCUUCAUUUCAGAUGGCCAUGUCACCUUAAACAUGACUUUGCAUUUAAAUUAAGUAACAAAUGUCUUAUGAGGGAGGAACAUGAACAUCUAGAAAUCUAAUUGAACGGAUUUUAAAAAUACUUCAUCAUGUGGGCAACUCUAUAGACUUUGCAAUCAAAUGAUUCUGUGUUCAUAAAUGUGUCCAUGUAGCACUAUGUAUUUUAAUAAAAUAAAACCUUUUAUAAACCUAAGUAGACAAUGGAAAUCUCUCAGAUAUUUUUUUUUUAAAUCACUUGGGAUGAGGUGAAGCUUCUAGAAUCAGAAAGAAUGAAUGACUGGAGAGCUUAUAGCAAAUACAUGAUCUCACACCCUGGCAUUUUGCCAUUCAAGAGGUGGGAUAUCAGAAGAGAACAUUGUGGCCAAAAUAACUGCAUGUCCCAGCCCUGGCCAUGCCUGCAGUAACUUGAGAGGAGAGUUACAAAAAAUAAAUAAAUAACUCAAAGUAAGACAUAGGUAAGUUUGUAAUUCAUUACUUUGUAUCAGUCUAUAUGCCAAUAUCAUAUUUUGAAAUGUAUAGUAUUCCUGAAAAAAAAAAAAAA
This 3422-nucleotide long non-coding RNA is filed under the name Canis lupus familiaris (dog). Its description in RNAcentral is "lncRNA (ENSCAFG00845003161.1)". The record is from RNAcentral. Lineage: Eukaryota; Metazoa; Chordata; Mammalia; Carnivora; Canidae.